Drosophila albomicans is the source of this 392-nucleotide long non-coding RNA. RefSeq lists it as uncharacterized. The record is from RefSeq and is a predicted model, not a curated record. The transcript has 2 exons. NCBI's taxonomy places the organism in Eukaryota, Metazoa, Arthropoda, Insecta, Diptera, Drosophilidae.
UUUAUUCAGCGUCUUAGGUACUGGAAUCAUUUCAAAUCGUUAGUCUUACUUUCUCGCCUUUGGCAGCAACACAUAAGUUUUUCUAAAUUUCAACUUCGAAAUGUUUAUCGGUCCGGUUCAAAAAGAGCACUUGCACAUGAUGAUCCUUGGCUGUGGUUGGCCUUGUGGAUCGUUGAGCGGACCCUGUGAUGGCUGCUGUGGAGGUUGCGGUGGCUGUGGUGGUUGUGGCGGCUGCUGUUAAGGCUUUUACAUAAUUCUGAAAUUUCUUAGAACACCUUUCAUGCAAUUGGAUCGCGACCGAAAACAAUAGCAACCAUUUUUAUUACCAGAAAUUUUUAAAUUCCUCAGAACAAUGCUAAAAAUAAAUAUGUUAAAGUAAGACAAAAAUAAAA